GAUGAACGCUGGCGGCGUGCCUAAUACAUGCAAGUCGAGCGAACGGACGAGAAGCUUGCUUUUCUGAUGUUAGCGGCGGACGGGUGAGUAACACGUGGAUAACCUACCUAUAAGACUGGGAUAACUUCGGGAAACCGGAGCUAAUACCGGAUAAUAUUUUGAACCGCAUGGUUCAAAAGUGAAAGACGGUCUUGCUGUCACUUAUAGAUGGAUCCGCGCUGCAUUAGCUAGUUGGUAAGGUAACGGCUUACCAAGGCAACGAUGCAUAGCCGACCUGAGAGGGUGAUCGGCCACACUGGAACUGAGACACGGUCCAGACUCCUACGGGAGGCAGCAGUAGGGAAUCUUCCGCAAUGGGCGAAAGCCUGACGGAGCAACGCCGCGUGAGUGAUGAAGGUCUUCGGAUCGUAAAGCUCUGUUAUUAGGGAAGAACAUAUGUGUAAGUAACUGUGGACAUCUUGACGGUACCUAAUCAGAAAGCAACGGCUAACUACGUG
This 497-nucleotide ribosomal RNA is filed under the name uncultured bacterium. RNAcentral's name for it is "partial 16S ribosomal RNA". It matches the Rfam family "Bacterial small subunit ribosomal RNA", at positions 28 to 507 of the family's 1533-position model. The record is from RNAcentral.